Molecule: unclassified non-coding RNA, 207 nt
Filed under: uncultured Clavulina
Lineage: Eukaryota; Fungi; Basidiomycota; Agaricomycetes; Cantharellales; Hydnaceae
Description: sequence contains ITS1
Source: RNAcentral
AUGAGUUGUGAUGGGGUUUGAUGCUGGCAGCCAAUUCUUGGAUGCAUGUGCUUGCCCUAACAAUCAUCUUCCAAACACCUGUGCACAUUUUUGAGGGAGUUUUGAGUUGAUUGCCGUUUUUGGGCGAUUUUCUCGCAUUCCCUUAAAUCAUUAUACGCUAUUAACAAUGUUGAACGUGCUCUGUGCCGCGAGGCCAUUAAUAUAAUA